UGAGCAGAUCAGACGGUCGCGGGCACUAAAAGUGCGUGAGGAAAGUCCGAGCUUCACAGGGCAAGGGUGCCGGUGAAAUGCCGGUGGAGGCGACUCUAAGGAAAGUGCAACAGAGAUAGACUGCCAAUUUAUUUGGUGAUGAUGGAAAGGCGAGGUAAGAGCUCACCGCGAGCUGUGGUAACACAGUCGGCUAUGUAAACCCCACUCGAAGCAAGGUAUAUAGGACGUUAUGCGGCUGCCCGUCGCGUCCUGAACACCGCUUGAGCAUAUCGGAGACGGUAUGCCUAGAUAGAUGACCGUUCAACGACAGAACUCGGCUUAUCGAUCUGACUCAAUUU
Molecule: RNase P RNA, 338 nt
Filed under: Clostridiales bacterium
Lineage: Bacteria; Bacillati; Bacillota; Clostridia; Eubacteriales
Description: RNase P RNA component class A
Rfam family: Bacterial RNase P class A
About the family: Ribonuclease P (RNase P) is a ubiquitous endoribonuclease, found in archaea, bacteria and eukarya as well as chloroplasts and mitochondria.
Source: RNAcentral